AUGCAGUCGAGCGCGAAUAGGGGCAACCCUUAGUAGAGCGGCGCACGGGUGCGUAACACGUGGAUAAUCUGCCUGGAUGCCUGGGAUAACCAGUCGAAAGAUUGGCUAAUACCGGAUAAGCCCACGGUCUCUUCGGAGACUGAGGGAAAAGGUGGCCUCUGUAUACAAGCUAUCACAACCAGAUGAGUCCGCGGCCCAUCAGCUAGUUGGCGGGGUAAUGGCCCACCAAGGCGACGACGGGUAGCUGGUCUGAGAGGACGAUCAGCCACACUGGAACUGAGACACGGUCCAGACUCCUACGGGAGGCAGCAGUGGGGAAUUUUGCGCAAUGGGCGAAAGCCUGACGCAGCAACGCCGCGUGUGUGAUGAAGGUCUUUGGAUUGUAAAGCACUUUCGACCGGGACGAAACCGUAAAGCCUAAUACGCUUUGCCUUGACGGUACCGGGAGAAGAAGCACCGGCUAACUCUGUGCCAGCAGCCGCGGUAAUACAGAGGGUGCAAGCGUUGUUCGGAAUUAUUGGGCGUAAAGCGCGUGUAGGCGGCUUUGCAAGUCGGGUGUGAAAGCCCUCAGCUCAACUGAGGAAGUGCGCCCGAAACUGCAGAGCUUGAGUGCCGGAGAGGGUGGCGGAAUU
Molecule: ribosomal RNA, 632 nt
Filed under: Corallococcus sp.
Lineage: Bacteria; Pseudomonadati; Myxococcota; Myxococcia; Myxococcales; Myxococcaceae
Description: bacterial SSU rRNA
Rfam family: Bacterial small subunit ribosomal RNA
Source: RNAcentral